Molecule: ribosomal RNA, 119 nt
Filed under: Pteropus alecto (black flying fox)
Lineage: Eukaryota; Metazoa; Chordata; Mammalia; Chiroptera; Pteropodidae
Also listed under: 1 other name
Source: RNAcentral
GUCUACAGCCAUGCCACCCUGAACGUGCCCCAUCUCGUCUGAUCUCGAAAGCUAAGCAGGGUCAGGCCUGGUUAGUACUUGGAUGGGAACCCACCUAGGACUACUAGGUGCUGUAGGCU